Molecule: ribosomal RNA, 434 nt
Filed under: uncultured Lachnospiraceae bacterium
Lineage: Bacteria; Bacillati; Bacillota; Clostridia; Lachnospirales; Lachnospiraceae
Description: partial 16S ribosomal RNA
Rfam family: Bacterial small subunit ribosomal RNA
Source: RNAcentral
ACGGAAGGCAGCAGUGGGGAAUAUUGCACAAUGGGGGAAACCCUGAUGCAGCGACGCCGCGUGAGUGAAGAAGUAUUUCGGUAUGUAAAGCUCUAUCAGCAGGGAAGAUAAUGACGGUACCUGACUAAGAAGCCCCGGCUAACUACGUGCCAGCAGCCGCGGUAAUACGUAGGGGGCAAGCGUUAUCCGGAUUUACUGGGUGUAAAGGGAGCGUAGACGGUUUGGCAAGUCUGAAGUGAAAGCCCGGGGCUCAACCCCGGUAUUGCUUUGGAAACUGUUGAACUAGAGUGCCGGAGGGGUAAGCGGAAUUCCUAGUGUAGCGGUGAAAUGCGUAGAUAUUAGGAGGAACACCAGUGGCGAAGGCGGCUUACUGGACGGUAACUGACGUUGAGGCUCGAAAGCGUGGGGAGCAAACAGGAUUAGAUACCCUGGUA